Molecule: ribosomal RNA, 328 nt
Filed under: uncultured Planctomycetota bacterium
Lineage: Bacteria; Pseudomonadati; Planctomycetota
Description: bacterial SSU rRNA
Rfam family: Bacterial small subunit ribosomal RNA
Source: RNAcentral
AACGAACGCUAGCAGCGUGGAUUAGGCAUGCAAGUCGCGCGCGAAAGUCUUCGGACGAGUAAAGCGGCGAAAGGGUGAGUAACACGUAACCAACGUACCCCUCAGACUGGGAUAACCACUGGAAACGGUGGGUAAGACCGGAUGGUCCUAAGAGAUGACAUCAUCUCUGUGGUAAACGGUGGCUUCGGCUGCUGCUGAGGGAGCGGGUUGCGGCCUAUCAGCUAGUUGGUGAGGUAACGGCUCACCAAGGCUAUGACGGGUAGCAGGUCUGAGAGGAUGGUCUGCCACACUGGGACUGAGACACUGCCCAGACUCCUACGGGAGGCUG